This 354-nucleotide ribosomal RNA is filed under the name uncultured bacterium. RNAcentral describes it as "partial 16S ribosomal RNA". It matches the Rfam family "Bacterial small subunit ribosomal RNA", at positions 338 to 709 of the family's 1533-position model. The record is from RNAcentral.
CCUACGGGUGGCAGCAGUGGGGAAUAUUGCUCAAUGGGGGAAACCCUGAAGCAGCAACGCCGCGUGGGGGAAGAAGGUCCUCGGAUUGUAAACCCCUUUUUGCAGGGAAGAAAAUGACGGUAUCUGUCGAAUAAGCACCGGCUAACUCCGUGCCAGCAGCCGCGGUAAUACGGAGGGGGCCAGCGUUAUGCGGAAUCACUGGGCGUAAAGCGGGCGUAGGCGGGGUAGCAAGUCAGGUGUGAAAUCCUGGGGCUUAACCCCCGAAAUGCAGUUGAAACUGUUCGGCUAGAGUGUGGGAGGGGUAGGUGGAAUUCGUGGUGUAGCGGUGAAAUGCGUAGAGAUCAAGAGGAAUAC